This 404-nucleotide ribosomal RNA is filed under the name uncultured bacterium. RNAcentral's name for it is "bacterial SSU rRNA". It matches the Rfam family "Bacterial small subunit ribosomal RNA", at positions 29 to 434 of the family's 1533-position model. The record is from RNAcentral.
AACGAACGCUGGCGGCAGGCCUAACACAUGCAAGUCGAGCGGCAGCGCGGGGCAACCUGGCGGCGAGCGGCGAACGGGUGAGUAAUACAUCGGAACGUACCCAGUUGUGGGGGAUAGCCCGGCGAAAGCCGGAUUAAUACCGCAUACGACCUGAGGGUGAAAGGGGGGGAUCGCAAGACCUCUCGCAGUUGGAGCGGCCGAUGGCGGAUUAGCUAGUUGGUAGGGUAAAGGCCUACCAAGGCGACGAUCCGUAGCUGGUCUGAGAGGACGACCAGCCACACUGGAACUGAGACACGGUCCAGACUCCUACGGGAGGCAGCAGUGGGGAAUUUUGGACAAUGGGGGGCAACCCUGAUCCAGCCAUGCCGCGUGCGGGAAGAAGGCCUUCGGGUUGUUAAACCGGA